RNAcentral lists this ribosomal RNA (253 nucleotides) under uncultured bacterium. Its description in RNAcentral is "partial 16S ribosomal RNA". It matches the Rfam family "Bacterial small subunit ribosomal RNA", at positions 524 to 776 of the family's 1533-position model. The record is from RNAcentral.
UACGGAGGGUGCAAGCGUUAUCCGGAUUCACUGGGUUUAAAGGGUGCGUAGGUGGGCAAGUAAGUCAGUGGUGAAAUCUCCGGGCUUAACCCGGAAACUGCCAUUGAUACUAUUUGUCUUGAAUACUGUGGAGGUCAGCGGAAUAUGUCAUGUAGCGGUGAAAUGCUUAGAUAUGACAUAGAACACCAAUUGCGAAGGCAGCUCGCUAAACUGUAACUGACGCUGAGGCACGAAAGCGUGGGUAGCAAACAGG